RNAcentral lists this ribosomal RNA (438 nucleotides) under Triticum aestivum (bread wheat). RNAcentral's name for it is "partial small subunit ribosomal RNA". Lineage: Eukaryota; Viridiplantae; Streptophyta; Magnoliopsida; Poales; Poaceae. The record is from RNAcentral.
AUGAAAGGUUUGAACUUGGAAAAUACUUCAAUUCCAUCACAAGUGUUGAUGCUCAAGUUUCUUGUGCAUUUAAAUCUGAGGGGAAACCACAUGCAAAGAAAUUCAAGAAUCAGUUGUAUAAUUAGGUUUACUAACAUCUAUGCGUUUCUCUUAUGGGAAUCGUUUCCAUACGGCGCGCCGGUGGAACGCUCGGCCGGUUGCGUGCGAGACGCGCGAUUCUUUUUGAUCAAGCGUAGCCCAUCUGGCCCACCACCGCUUGCUCAUCCUUUCUAUCCUUAUCCCGUACGGAAGCUCUCCUCCACUCAUUCACUUCCUUUCCUCAUCCCCUACCUUCAGUUCUUGCCAACAGCUAGCACCCAAAUCAAAACACCAGAGAAAUCACCAAUGCGGAGACGAGCAGGCGAUGCAACUGGGAGGCCGAGCUUUUCCACCACUUGA